This is a long non-coding RNA of Lytechinus pictus (painted urchin), 3185 nucleotides long. RefSeq lists it as uncharacterized. The record is from RefSeq and is a predicted model, not a curated record. NCBI's taxonomy places the organism in Eukaryota, Metazoa, Echinodermata, Echinoidea, Temnopleuroida, Toxopneustidae. The transcript is spliced from 7 exons.
ACAGUGGACGCGCCAUAUUCAAGAAUGUGACGAAAGAAAAAAAGGCAAGCAGAUCAGACAUGUCUUUCAAAAAGCUGUUUUGUUUCUUGUAGUACGUGCAUAAUUUAGAGGUGAGUGGAGCUGGAAUGGACAAGCUUUGCUAAUCACUACACAACCAACACUGUACAGCUACAAUCAGGGACACAAGUUCAGCUCAGCAAACGGGUCAAAGGUUACCAGCAGGUCAAUUAUAAAACUCCCACAAGGCGGUAUCAACAUCAUUCAGCCAUCAAGAGGACACCAGAUCAUUCUGACAACCCAAUCACCCAAGCCAACCUUGUCAAUGUGCAGCUUUCGUCAAACUCCACAACCCAUGCUGUCCAAAGACCAGGCACUCUGCAAAUGGUUCUGUCGGACACUGCCACCCAGCUCCAAGCUGCUCAGCAAUUACACCAGUUCAAAGACAGUUGAUUGCACAGGGUGGCUCAGGCUGUAGUCUCUACAAAGGUCACUGCUGGUCGGUCUCCCUCUACAGAUGAAGCAGAUACAGGUAGUUCUGCAACAGCAGCAACUGCCGCAAACAAGUUGUGCAUGACAUACUAUACUGUGUGAGCUCGUAAUCAAGGCCGAGGAGUCCAUAUGUUACCAUAGAUUAGGCAGUGAGGAAUGUCAUUGCCUCAAGUGCUAUGUCGGGAGGUGUCAAGGAUGUCAAGUCCUUCCACAAAGACUGUUGUAUUGUCCUUGGCAUUUGAGAAGGCAACCAAUAUUGCUACGAUGAUCAGGGAUUCAAGUCUGUCAGACAACUGUGGCCAGUUUCUCUCCAAGUGGAAUCUAGAGCCAGAGCAGAUGAGCAUAAGGCAUGCCUCUCCCGUAUUGCUUCCUACCAUCAGCAGCCCUGCAGUACCAAACUGGUGUACGGUCAAGACCUCUUUACAGCUGGGUCUCUCUACCAUGCCUCUUAACCCUAAAAAGACUGGGGGCCUCCAACGAUUUCCAUUUAAAAAAAAAAGAAGAAAAAAAAAAGGUUGCGAAACAAAGGAAUAAAUGAGAAAUUUUAGACGCAUUCAAAGUUAUAAAGGACAUUAUUGAUACUAAUUGUUUUUUCAUGUGCAUUCAAUUCGGAUGCCACAAAGAAAAAAAUUAGCACAUGAAGGUUUUUUUUUAAGGAUUUACAGCCACAUUCUAAUUCCGUGCAUUCUUUAAGUUUAAUAGUAUGAUUGAAAAUAGAUUUGAAUUAUUUCGGAACAAUGAAAUAUACAAUUUUGUUGAUCAUGUCAUGAGUGGAUUCUCGUUUAAAAUCACUUUACAACAGCAGAGAUAUUUAGGGGGCGUUUAGCCCCGGCGGCCGUCUUUCCAAAAAUACCCCAGUCUUAUUAGAGUUAACCUGUUGGUAAGAGAAGACCCUUCAGUAAUUGAAUUGGGUAGCUUCUACUGCUAUCGCUGGCUGGUUGGAGAUGCCCUGAGGAGAGUGGAGAUAGCCUACAAGAAGACCAGGUUUUCGGGAACGUCCUUCACACCCUUGGCGACUACCUUGAGGAACUUCUGCAGAUCAUCAAGAGGACACCUCCCUGACAGGAUCAGUAUCAACAAAAAAAGCUUGAAUAGGUUUUCAAUUAGAAGCUACCCAGCCCUUGAUCCUGCUCCACCACCACCACCAAUGGUAGCUCCAGCUCGUGGUUAAUAUGCAGAGAAGGAGAAUCUUUGUUAAUUCCUCCAGCUACCCAGCCCUUGAUCCUGCUUCACCACCACCACCAAUGGUAGCUCCAGCUCGUGGUUAAUAUGCAGAGAAGGAGAAUCUUUGUUAAUUCCUCCAGCUACCCAGCCCUUCUGCUCCACCACCUCCACCACCAAUGGUAGCUCCAGCUCAUGGUUAAUAUGCAGAGAAGGAGAAUCUUUGUUAAUUCCUCCAGCUACCCAGCCCUUGAUCCUGCUUCACCACCACCACCAAUGGUAGCUCCAGCUUGUGGUUAAUAUGCAGAGAAGGAGAAUCUUUGUUAAUUCCUCCAGCUACCCAGCCCUUCUGCUCCACCACCACCACCAAUGGUAGCUCCAGCUCAUGGUUAUUCUGCAGAGAUGGAGAAUCAUUGUUUAUUCCUCCAGUUACCUAGCCCUCCUUACCCACCAAGACCAGUGAGAUCUCUGGCUCCUGGUUAUUAUGUAGAGAUGGAGAAUAUUUGUUUAUUCCUCCUACCCAGCCCUCCUGCCCCCACCACCACCAAUGGUAGCUCCAGGUCCUGGUUAUUAUGCAGAGAUGUAGAAUCUUAGGAAGCAGAGAGAUGAUACGUGUACCAUAGAAGAGGCAGAGAAAGUGCAGGUCAUGUGACUCAGUAUGCAACAUGGACACACCCCCUAUCUGGUGAGAGAGAUGGUCUAUCAGAGACAAGGACAGACAGAUCAUGUGGGUGGCCCAGCACAGCAAUGUGUGAGAUAUGGAAACAGUGCCUGAUGGAAGCAGAGAUUGUAGAUAUUUUAACUGACCACUUGACUUUACAGUUCAUUCCUGACUAACCUACAGGAUUGCAGAUUAUGACUGAAUUAUCAGAUGAAUAAUUGAUUUUGAUUUAAUCUUGAAUCCUGGACAAAGUUACUGCCUUUAAAUAUCCCAAUAUAUAUAUUUUUUUAUUUAAGGCUACAUAACAAAUGUUUGCAAUCAAUCGCUUAUUACAAUAACCAAUUAAGAUCACAGUUACAUGCACCAGGAACCAAUCAGAGCAAUCCAUCGCAAAACAUUGGGUUCAAAGGUCCAUGUGCCUGGAGAAGCAAGCACCAUUUUCUAGAAGUCAAACUCAAAAUAUUUUACAUAAAUCUUCUGUCGUGUAAAUCAAAUUGAAGGAACCAACAGUUUAAAACUUUUAGGUCACUUUGUCAAAAAUAUUUCAGGCAUCACAUGUAUGACUUGAAUUUGGUUUUGCUACUCCUGAACUUAUUUUUGUUAUGUAUUUUAAGAUUUCAUUUGUGUCACUACAAGAAGCAGGUCCAAGCUAUUAUCUAAUUUCUGACAAUUCGAAUAUCUGAAUUGUCUAUUGUUUAUGUAAGGCAUGGCUUUUUUUUUUAUCAUGAUUCCAUUGUAUUUUUAUCAAUUCAUUUUAACAAUUCUGCAAAAGUGGAUCCAAAGGUUUUCCAGAGUUUUUCCCUCUUGUGUUUUAUCUCUGGUUUUUUACCCUGGUUCUACUUGUAGAAUUGUUUAGCCCUAUACAGGGUAUAUC